UGAGCUUAUUUUUGUCUUCCUUCUUCCAAGUUAAUUUUUUGAUGGAAAAUUAUUACUCCUCCCUAAAUGGGAGUCUGAAAAAUAAAACCAGGUCCUAUAAUUGCUAGUGCUCUCCAUACCAGUCAGUGGCGCUCUGGGCUGAGGACAGAUAAAUAACAGUUGCCUGCAUCCUGUGUUCAGGGUUAACAAAAGGUGGUGGGAACUUUCUACAAAUACAAGAUGCACUUUGCAUACGACAGCAGACGUGCAGGCUGGAAACUGAACGUGGUACCUCGGAGUCUCUGGCUGCUGAUGGGAUGAGCCCUGGGCUCUCGGGGCUGGUUGCUGUGCGCAGCCGAGGUUUCUCCUUUGAGCCACGCAGGCUGCAGAUCGUGUACGGCCCCGAGAUCCCGCCGAACGUUUUCUCAGCGCUUCAGUGCCGUACUCUGCAGCCAAGACACCUCACCCCGUGCUGAGCCCCGUGACUGCUAACCAGACUAAGCAGGUAACUUGCCAAGUUUUGCUUUGCUCACGUGACAUGCAGUGACUGCCUUUGUCCCUGAAGACAGUACUCUUUGAAGUCCUUAUGUUGAUGAAAUGACCCGUAAGUCCGACAAAGGCUUGGGAUACUUUCCCCACAGUUUAUACCAGGCUUUGUGUAGUAGGUCGGUCAGGACCUGACACUGUCUUUGGGGGCCGUUUGACAUUCUGCAUCUAGUCAUCUCCAGUCAUAGCUCUGAUACCUUGUAUUCGUAUGGGCAGUCUGGGUUGGAAUUUACUUUCAUUUAACCCGCCUCAGUUAACCCAGACUGCUGCCCCAUGCAGUAGACCAGACAGGUGUUCGGGUAUGUUCCAUUAAUGAAGGCUCAGGGGACUGACGCAGGCUGACCAGAGCCGGAACCCAAGUCAUCCGCCUUCUUCCUGUCUCCCGCUUUGUUCAUUGUCCCUUUCGGUAUCAGCCUCUGGGGAAUCGGGUCUCAUGCUUUCUUCUGCAACCUCGGUUUUUCAGACCUUGCAUAUUCAGUGAUUUUGUUAUGUCUACUUUCUGGCUUUUGCCUGGUAAACAUUGUCUCUUACAAAACUAGGUUAUGUUAUAAACAGUUGAGCAAAUCCGGAAGAAAAUGAUAGGAGAUGGCUGAAAGGUAGACCAGUGUUUCUCUGAAACUUUCCCGAGAGAACUUGGUUCCUCUGCUGCUCUAAUAUCUGUCUCUAGAAAAGUGAUUUUAGAUCAUGUUUGAGAUUGAACCUCAGAACCUGCCAUAGUGAGUUCUCAGACUUGGCAUCCUGCUCCUUAGUUUGCCGUGACUUAUCAUAGCAUUUAAACUAUUAGCAUUUAGUGUUUCUUCUGGAAGUUUCAUGUUCAGAUAAGGGGACCCAUGGUAAAGCGUAAAUCAUGACAAACGAGAGUAAAAGAACAUCGACUGGAGAUGGAUAAGU
Molecule: long non-coding RNA, 1416 nt
Filed under: Sus scrofa (pig)
Lineage: Eukaryota; Metazoa; Chordata; Mammalia; Artiodactyla; Suidae
Description: lncRNA (ENSSSCG00040035455.1)
Source: RNAcentral